RNAcentral lists this non-coding RNA (101 nucleotides) under Planktothricoides sp. TH3. RNAcentral describes it as "Planktothricoides sp. Glutamine-I sequence". It matches the Rfam family "Glutamine riboswitch aptamer (glnA leader)". The record is from RNAcentral. RNAcentral also lists the same sequence under 1 other name. Lineage: Bacteria; Bacillati; Cyanobacteriota; Cyanophyceae; Oscillatoriales; Oscillatoriaceae.
AUCGUUCAUCUCUCCAAAACAGGUUUGACUCUAAGCCGCUGUAAGCAUUGGGGAGACGGAAGUAGGGAGUAUUCAAACCAGUCAUCCCGAAGGAACGCGCC